GGGGAUUUAGUUCAGUGGUAGAGCGCUUGCCUAGCAAGCACAAGACCCUGGGUUCGGUCCCCAGCUCCG
Molecule: non-coding RNA, 69 nt
Organism: Rattus norvegicus (Norway rat)
Lineage: Eukaryota; Metazoa; Chordata; Mammalia; Rodentia; Muridae
Source: Rfam